This 831-nucleotide ribosomal RNA is filed under the name uncultured earthworm cast bacterium. RNAcentral's name for it is "bacterial SSU rRNA". It matches the Rfam family "Bacterial small subunit ribosomal RNA", at positions 40 to 878 of the family's 1533-position model. The record is from RNAcentral.
CGGCAGGCUUAACACAUGCAAGUCGAGGGGUAUAGUUCUUCGGAUUAGAGACCGGCGCACGGGUGCGUAACGCGUAUGCAAUCUACCUUUUACAGAGGGAUAGCCCAGAGAAAUUUGGAUUAAUACCUCAUAGUAUAGUACAACCGCAUGGUUGAAUUAUUAAAGUCACAACGGUAAAAGAUGAGCAUGCGUCCCAUUAGCUAGUUGGUAAGGUAACGGCUUACCAAGGCGACGAUGGGUAGGGGUCCUGAGAGGGAGAUCCCCCACACUGGUACUGAGACACGGACCAGACUCCUACGGGAGGCAGCAGUGAGGAAUAUUGGUCAAUGGGCGCAAGCCUGAACCAGCCAUGCCGCGUGCAGGAUGACGGUCCUAUGGAUUGUAAACUGCUUUUGUACAGGAAGAAACACUCGGACGUGUCCGGGCUUGACGGUACUGUAAGAAUAAGGAUCGGCUAACUCCGUGCCAGCAGCCGCGGUAAUACGGAGGAUCCAAGCGUUAUCCGGAAUCAUUGGGUUUAAAGGGUCCGUAGGCGGUUUAGUAAGUCAGUGGUGAAAGCCCAUCGCUCAACGGUGGAACGGCCAUUGAUACUGCUAGACUUGAAUUAUUAGGAAGUAACUAGAAUAUGUAGUGUAGCGGUGAAAUGCUUAGAGAUUACAUGGAAUACCAAUUGCGAAGGCAGGUUACUACUAAUGGAUUGACGCUGAUGGACGAAAGCGUGGGUAGCGAACAGGAUUAGAUACCCUGGUAGUCCACGCCGUAAACGAUGGAUACUAGCUGUUGGGAGCGAUCUCAGUGGCUAAGCGAAAGUGAUAAGUAUCCCACCUGGGG